CUCCUUGUGGUGUAGUUGGCUAUCACGUCGGGCUGUAAUUGAGAAAUUGUUCACCUGAAGGUCACCAGUUCAAUUCUGGUCGGGGAGA
This 88-nucleotide transfer RNA is filed under the name Stachybotrys elegans. It matches the Rfam family "tRNA". From Rfam's summary of the family: Transfer RNA (tRNA) molecules are approximately 80 nucleotides in length. Their secondary structure includes four short double-helical elements and three loops (D, anti-codon, and T loops). Further hydrogen bonds mediate the characteristic L-shaped molecular structure. tRNAs have two regions of fundamental functional importance: the anti-codon, which is responsible for specific mRNA codon recognition, and the 3' end, to which the tRNAs corresponding amino acid is attached (by aminoacyl-tRNA synthetases). tRNAs cope with the degeneracy of the genetic code in two manners: having more than one tRNA (with a specific anti-codon) for a particular amino acid; and 'wobble' base-pairing, i.e. permitting non-standard base-pairing at the 3rd anti-codon position. Lineage: Eukaryota; Fungi; Ascomycota; Sordariomycetes; Hypocreales; Stachybotryaceae. The record is from Rfam by way of RNAcentral.